UGGGGAAUCUUGCGCAAUGGGCGAAAGCCUGACGCAGCGACGCCGCGUGAGCGAUGAAGGCCUUCGGGUUGUAAAGCUCUGUGGGGAGAGACGAAUAAGGUGAAGCUAAUACCUUCAUUGAUGACGGUAUCUCUUUAGCAAGCACCGGCUAACUCUGUGCCAGCAGCCGCGGUAAGACAGAGGGUGCAAACGUUGUUCGGAAUUACUGGGCGUAAAGCGCGUGUAGGUGGUCUCGCAAGUCGGAUGUGAAAUCCCAGGGCUCAACCUUGGAAGAGCACCCGAAACUGCAAGACUGGAGUCCUGGAGAGGAAGGUGGAAUGCUUGGUGUAGAGGUGAAAUUCGUAGAUAUCAAGCGGAACACCAGUGGCGAAGGCGGCCUUCUGGACAGUGACUGACACUGAGACGCGAAAGCGUGGGGAGCAAACAGG
Molecule: ribosomal RNA, 428 nt
Filed under: uncultured bacterium
Lineage: Bacteria
Description: bacterial SSU rRNA
Rfam family: Bacterial small subunit ribosomal RNA
Source: RNAcentral